UUUUAAGAAGUGAACAACCAAGUUAUUUGCCUGGAAAAGUCUCCUGAAAUACUGAAGUUAUGCUAAAGAAGGAGAAGAGAAAGGAAGCUGCAGUCCCUGUAUAACUCCUAAAUUUUUAAUUUGGAGUUCCUCUUCUUCGGUGCAACAAUCUUUCUGCAUGCACAGAUCCAUGUGGCACUCAUCUCAUCAUUCUGAGGGAAGAAAGAUGCAUAGGGAAUGUUGCAUGUGGUUAUUUCUGCACCAUGGCAAUAUGUUUUCUUGAAAUGAAGCUAAGGACUGGGAAAUUGAAAGUAAUCCUCAUGCUUUUUGAUAAUGCACCUCCUCAGGAAUAAUAUCAAAGUAACACCUGAACAAAAAGGGCUGGUUCAGGUGACCACAGAGUGACAGUUUCUCUCAAGUGCACAUUAUCCAUCAAGAAGAUUUAAAUCAUUUUGAAAUAUUAAUAUAAUGAUCAAAAAUUAACUUUUAUACAUGUUAUUAGGCAGAACCCACAGAAAACAAUAAAGCACGAGAGAAAAGAGGAUGGCAGUUUACCCAGGAAACAUAGGUUGUGCAAAGCUUUGCAAUGAUACUCUCAAUUCAGAGCAAUGAAGAACAGAAUGCUGUCUUCCCAUAAUGAUGGCAUUCAAUUAUCACUAGACUUACAAGACUACAGAAAAUUUCUCAAGAACCAGUAAGGAUCAGACAGAGCCAAUGACAAUACUGAAGAAGCUUGCCAGUGGAGAAUGAAAGCUCAGUUACACAAAUUACGUUGUUGAACCAGUGCCAGAAAUAAAAUGUGAUGGACAAACUCAUUAAU
This 799-nucleotide long non-coding RNA is filed under the name Homo sapiens (human). Its description in RNAcentral is "long non-coding RNA NONHSAT216251.1". Lineage: Eukaryota; Metazoa; Chordata; Mammalia; Primates; Hominidae. The record is from RNAcentral.